This 505-nucleotide ribosomal RNA is filed under the name uncultured bacterium. RNAcentral describes it as "partial 16S ribosomal RNA". It matches the Rfam family "Bacterial small subunit ribosomal RNA", at positions 29 to 523 of the family's 1533-position model. The record is from RNAcentral.
AUUGAACGCUGGCGGCAGGCCUAACACAUGCAAGUCGGACGGUAGCACAGAGGAGCUUGCUCUCGGGUGACGAGUGGCGGACGGGUGAGUAACGUCUGGGAAACUGCCCGAUGGAGGGGGAUAACUACUGGAAACGGUAGCUAAUACCGCAUAACGUCGCAAGACCAAAGUGGGGGACCUUCGGGCCUCACACCAUCGGAUGUGCCCAGAUGGGAUUAGCUAGUAGGUGGGGUAAUGGCUCACCUAGGCGACGAUCCCUAGCUGGUCUGAGAGGAUCGCCAGCCACACUGGAACUAAGACACGGUCCAGACGCCUACGGGAGGCAGCAGUGGGGAAUAUUGCACAAUGGGCGCAAGUCUGAUGCAGCCAUGCCGCGUGUAUGAAGAAGGCCUUCGGGUUGUAAAGUACUUUCAGCGGGGAGGAAGGCGGUGAAGUUAAUAGCUUAACCGAUUGACGUUACCCGCAGAAGAAGCACCGGCUAACUCCGUGCCAGCCGCCGCGGUAA